This 450-nucleotide ribosomal RNA is filed under the name uncultured Glomeromycotina. RNAcentral describes it as "SSU rRNA". It matches the Rfam family "Eukaryotic small subunit ribosomal RNA", at positions 569 to 1024 of the family's 1831-position model. The record is from RNAcentral. Lineage: Eukaryota; Fungi; Glomeromycota.
AGCAGCCGCGGUAAUUCCAGCUCCAAUAGCGUAUAUUAAAGUUGUUGCAGUUAAAAAGCUCGUAGUUGAAUUUCGAGACCGGUUUACUGGUCGUGCUUUUGUACGUACUGGUAUUAUUGGUUUCUCCUUUCUGACGAUUCAUAAUGCCAUUAAUUUGGUGUUUUGGGGAAUCAGGACUGUUACUUUGAAAAAAUUAGAGUGUUUAAAGCAGGCUCACGCUUGAAUACAUUAGCAUGGAAUAACGAAAUAGGACGUUUGAUUUUAUUUUGUUGGUUUCUAGGAUCGACGUAAUGAUUAAUAGGGAUAGUUGGGGGCAUUAGUAUUCAAUUGUCAGAGGUGAAAUUCUUGGAUUUAUUGAAGACUAACUACUGUGAAAGCAUUUGCCAAGGAUGUUUUCAUUAAUCAAGAACGAAAGUUAGGGGAUCGAAGACGAUCAGAUACCGUCGUAGU